GCAACUAGUACUUCAUGCAGAGUAAACUCAACCAUUUCCAGAUCCAAGUAACCUUCAACAACGCUAUCAAGAUCCGAGUCAUCAAGAAUUUUGCCAAGUUGAUGCUGACAUUGGGCACUAGUUUGCAGAAGCUGCUUUUGUUCUUCAUCCAACUCAGUGCCCUCCAUCAUUUUCUGAGAAAAUAUAAUCCCAGAUAGAGGAUUCCUGAUCUGCC
This 214-nucleotide unclassified non-coding RNA is filed under the name Hevea brasiliensis (rubber tree). The record is from RNAcentral. Lineage: Eukaryota; Viridiplantae; Streptophyta; Magnoliopsida; Malpighiales; Euphorbiaceae.